ACGGGAGGCGGCAGUGGGGAAUAUUGGGCAAUGGGCGAAAGCCUGACCCAGCAACGCCGCGUGAGGGAAGAAGGUUUUCGGAUUGUAAACCUCUGUCAACAGGGACGAAAAUGACGGUACCUGUGAAGGAAGCUCCGGCUAACUACGUGCCAGCAGCCGCGGUAGUACGUAGGGAGCAAGCGUUAUCCGGAAUUACUGGGUGUAAAGGGAGUGUAGGCGGGACUGUAAGUCAGAUGUGAAAUAUGCCGGCUCAACUGGCAGACUGCAUUUGAAACUGCGGUUCUUGAGUGAAGUAGAGGUAAGCGGAAUUCCUAGUGUAGCGGUGAAAUGCGUAGAUAUUAGGAGGAACAUCAGUGGCGAAGGCGGCUUACUGGGCUUUAACUGACGUUGAGGCUCGAAAGCGUGGGGAGCAAACAGGAUUAGAUACCCUGGUA
Molecule: ribosomal RNA, 434 nt
Filed under: uncultured Ruminococcus sp.
Lineage: Bacteria; Bacillati; Bacillota; Clostridia; Eubacteriales; Oscillospiraceae
Description: partial 16S ribosomal RNA
Rfam family: Bacterial small subunit ribosomal RNA
Source: RNAcentral